RNAcentral lists this ribosomal RNA (426 nucleotides) under Fervidobacterium gondwanense DSM 13020. Its description in RNAcentral is "bacterial SSU rRNA". It matches the Rfam family "Bacterial small subunit ribosomal RNA", at positions 19 to 452 of the family's 1533-position model. Lineage: Bacteria; Thermotogati; Thermotogota; Thermotogae; Thermotogales; Fervidobacteriaceae. The record is from RNAcentral.
CUGGCUCAGGGUGAACGCUGGCGGCGUGCCUAACACAUGCAAGUCGAGCGGUGCGGCUGGAAGCUUUGGCGGAAGGCUGCAUAGCGGCGGACGGGUGCGUAACACGUAGGAACGUGCCCCCUGGAGGCGGAUAGCCGUGGGAAACUGCGGGUAAACCGCCGUAGACUCGGGAGAGUAAAGGCCGAAAGGUGCCAGGGGAGCGGCCUGCGGCCCAUCAGGUAGUUGGUAGGGUAACGGCCUACCAAGCCGACGACGGGUAGCCGGUCUGAGAGGAUGGCCGGCCACAAGGGCACUGAGACACGGGCCCUACUCCUACGGGAGGCAGCAGUGGGGGAUUUUGGACAAUGGGCGAAAGCCUGAUCCAGCGACGCCGCGUGGAGGACGAAGCCCUUCGGGGUGUAAACUCCUUUUCUCAGGGAAAAAAGC